RNAcentral lists this ribosomal RNA (469 nucleotides) under uncultured bacterium. RNAcentral's name for it is "partial 16S ribosomal RNA". It matches the Rfam family "Bacterial small subunit ribosomal RNA", at positions 28 to 507 of the family's 1533-position model. The record is from RNAcentral.
GACGAACGCUGGCGGCGUGCUUAACACAUGCCAGUCGAACGGUGAAGCGCGUGCUUGCACUCGUGGAUCAGUGGCGAACGGGUGAGUAACACGUGAGUAACCUGCCCAUCACUCUGGGAUAAGCACUGGAAACGGGGGCUAAUACUGGAUACGACCAACCCUUGCAUGGGGGGGUGGGGGAAGGAUUUAUCGGUGGUGGAUGGACUCGCGGCCUAUCAGCUUGUUGGCGGGGUAAUGGCCCACCAAGGCUUGGACGGGUAGCCGGCCUGAGAGGGUGACCGGCCACACUGGGACUGAGACACGGCCCAGACUCCUACGGGAGGCAGCAGUGGGGAAUAUUGCACAAUGGGCGAAAGCCUGAUGCAGCGACGCCGCGUGAGGGAUGACGGCCUUCGGGUUGUAAACCUCUUUCAGCAGUGAAGAAGCGAGAGUGACGGUACCUGCAGAAGAAGCACCGGCUAACUACGUG